UCAAGUUUGGAGUGUCAGAUUUUGGCGUUUUUAGAUCCUAAUUUCAUUGGAAACGGGUCAACGAUCAAAAGUCACUAGCUUUACUGGUGAACUGCAGGGUUUUUUGGUCGAAUUCCAUCAUUUAGGCCUUCAAAAUUGCAUGUAAAAAUUUGGUUUAUUUUCUGGUUACUAAAAUUAUGUAAUUUGGUUACUGUCUAAUAUUGAUUUGG
This 209-nucleotide long non-coding RNA is filed under the name Panax ginseng (ginseng). RNAcentral's name for it is "long non-coding RNA (PGIN_LNC018322)". Lineage: Eukaryota; Viridiplantae; Streptophyta; Magnoliopsida; Apiales; Araliaceae. The record is from RNAcentral.